RNA transcript from Oncorhynchus nerka (sockeye salmon), 1702 nucleotides. RefSeq lists it as uncharacterized. Lineage: Eukaryota; Metazoa; Chordata; Actinopteri; Salmoniformes; Salmonidae. The record is from RefSeq and is a predicted model, not a curated record. The transcript is spliced from 6 exons.
UCACUUCCGCUGGUAACCAAAAGCAGUCAGACGUGAGGGAUGUCAAAGAAAAUUAAAUUUGGAGAGAGACGAUUCAGAAACAGGAAAGGAACCGUUUGACAAUACUCUAUUUAUAGAACGAAAAUAAUUUAAGAGAUCGUGGUAAGAAUUUAAAUAGACAUUUCGAAAAUAUCACAUUUUUAGCUAAAUCUCCUGUUUUGUGGGUAAAAAACGAAAGAGAUGGGGACAAGAGCUAGUCGUUUACAGGAGGACCCAGUGUCUUCGGCUUUCGUCAAAGAUGGCAUAAAGCGGGAUUCCUAUCGACGACCCCGCUGCAAUAGGCCCGCCAGUCUUAAAAUAGACUUUUCGGGGAGUUUUGACGAUUCGGAGACCAACCGUAGCCGAUCGGAGGAGGGCAGCUAUUCGGACAUAGGGCAACAGGCGAGUGCCGUUGGAAGCCCCGCCGACCACAACAGCCACCCAUCCAUCAGCCAGUCAUCACCAGCGGAAGACACCAGCGAAUGCAAGCGCGAGGAAGACGCUAAUAGCAGUCCCGAGGGUGCUGUCAACGGGGAACAUCUGCCUGGAGAGGAGACAGGCCGCGUGUCUCACCGCACUUUCUCUGAACGUUUACCCGGCAAUCGACAAUCUAACUGGCGCAACGUCAGCGCAAGAUCCGCACGAAUGAGAGGCAUCAAUCAACGCCCGGCGUCGGAGGCUUGGAUUGGCCUCUACCGUGUCAACAACCGACAUGAUAUCCGCUGUCCGUUCUGCUCCAAGUCUUUCUCGGGGGGCAAGAUUGAGAAUCACCUGUUGAGCUGCCUCACAUCUCCAUCUCUCCCUUACAACACGGACGUGCUCAGUAAGGACAGCGGUGAGUGUUCCAUCUGUCUGGAGGAGCUGCAGCAAGGAGAGACCAUUGCCCGGCUGGCCUGCCUAUGUGUCUACCACAAGGGCUGUAUAGACUCCUGGUCCAAGGUGAAGCCAUGCUGUCCCGAACACCCUUUUGAUUGACUCAUGGGUCACAUGUCCUGCUCAGGGACACACCUGACUCGGGAGACUGCAAUGUUUCUAUAAUUGCAGCAAAUAUAUUAUGGCAAUGAAAAAUACCAGAGGCAAGCCUCCUAAUUUUACUGAACCAGACACAGCCCCACAAGGAUGUCAAUGAAAAAUACCAGAGGCAAGCCUCCUAAUUUUACUGACCCAGACACAGCCCCACAAGGAUGUCAAUGAAAAAUACCAGAGGCAAGCCUCCUAAUUUUACUGACCCAGACACAGCCCCACAAGGAUGCGACCGCAGACCACUUUUUUUUCUCUUUCGACCUGGUUCAGUCCAUUUGAGCUGGUUCAGUCCGUUUGAGCUCAACUCAGACCACUAUAACUACCACUGGAAUAGACAGCCACCUCUCCUCUGUGAACAUAGCCCAAACGAUAAACUGCUGCACUCCAGAAAAACGACGCUGAGCUUUGUGACGGUUAUGCUGAUAUAUUCAAUGAGAAUGUUUGUCACCACAGCGAUAUCUGCACCCCAAGAUAUGGACAAUCUGCCUUCUCUUUGGUAUAAUAGAACAAUUACGUUUAUUUAUUAAAGUGUAAAUAUGUAUUGCAAUUCAAACUGGCUUGGUCUUUGUCUGUUCAUUUGACUGUUUCUAAGCUCCAAUCUUUUGUAUGUCUCAAUUGGUUUUAUAUGUAUUUUUUACAAUAAAUAUACUUUUGAGCCCUG